GACUCGCACAGGUUUUCUUCAGCAUAUAUCUAAUUUCGACAUCUCAAGGCAGCGCUGAGGCGAAUUUCUAAUCAGAUGAUCAAAAUUCAACAUUUUCUUGUUACUUUUGCGGUUUUGCAAUUCAUCAUCAUAGUGAUGAAUAAUUAUAAGCAACGGCACGAAUUCAUCGGUGUAAGACAAUCGAUUACGAGAUUGCUUUAGACUUGAUAACAAACGUUGGAUUUUUAUUAUUAUUUAUUAGUAGUAGCCUACAACACGAAAAAAUGAGAAAAGUAUGAUCUUCAGAUACAGUUAGGAAUUAAUCAAGAUGGAUCAGUGAACAUCUGAACAAACGUUUGAUAUCGUGUAAAUUCUUUUUUUUUGUUUGCUUUAUUAAGAAGAUAAAGCAAGGCAGUGAAAAGUCAAUUGUGAGGGGAGGGACACGUAAAUUAAUUUUGGUGAGAUCAGAUGCAGUGGUGAUGUUUGUUGAGUGACUGAUGAGUGCAUCUUGAUGUGGAUAUGGGUAAAGUUACAAUAUUUUCACUAACUAUUCCCUUUAAAAUAACAUUUUUCCCACAAAAUGGAAAUACCUACUCCCUAACCAGCAACCGCAGCAACCAGCUAGCUUGUGAAUUUCGUUUUCCGCAAAAAAUUUUUUGUUGUUGAUGCAUUUGCAUUAUUCGAAGGGAAUAACGAGUUGGCAACCCUGUUGGUUUUCUUCUUAGUCAUACGACUCAGUCUCAAGUCGCAUUAACUAUUCAACCGUUGACAGAAUAUGUUGGAACUCUGUGGGCUGUUCAUGGUAGAUGAAAAAUGUUGACCAGUGAGUGAAAAAUCGCAUACUGUGUGCAGAUCAUGAGAUGUACCACACUGUGUUAUGGAAGUGCCGGGUAGUGCCCACUUUGCCAGUAGCCAUUAUUGUGUCCUGCAAACAAAGGUGCUGAAAGGUGGUUACAAGUUGCAUGACGUGUCUUCCGCGGUGUUUUACUGGAUCGCCCAACUUGGUGUUUGCGUAUAAGCCGGUCGGAGGCCUUCGUGAUUUGGUGUGGACUGGUUCGUAGUUGGACUACUUGGCGUGUCUUUGUAAAGGAUUCCGGUGCUAGAGGAUCUCGUAAAGUAAAGGCCUAACCAUUUAUGCUCGAUCACAUUAUUCGUUUCAGUGAUCGAUCACCUCGGUUUGAUACAUGUGGUCGCUGCGAUUGGAGUUCACUAAUCAUUGUAUGUUCUUAAGGGUGUUGGUGUUAUUCUGCUGUCCGAUGUUCUCUCGCGAUACGUAAAUCGAUAUAUCUACCAUGCCUGAUGUAUGAUCGUGUAUUGCGGUUUCGUGGACGUAAAUGGUAAACAAGUAUUUUUUGACAACCAUUUUUAAAAAAUUGUGUGGACCUUUUUCCAGAUAUCUUUUGUUUAAAAAUGUAUGCUAAGACUGCUGUACAUUUAGCCACAACGUCGUCUCUUCUCUCUUGCUAUACAUGAACAUCUGCUGCGCCACCAACCAAAUAUAGGAUUACCAGGCAGAUGAGAAGCUGAGCUUAUUCGUAGCAGUCCAAUUUGCGUAUGGAUUUGUUGAAGCCGGCCAGUGAAAACUCUGAUAUUGAGCUGUUGCAGUCGUUAGUUCUGGUGUUAUCCUGAAGGGCUAAAGAGCUCUAUUCUUCAUGUCUUACGGGAGUGAUCAUGUCUGAAUCGAUGUGUGAUUUUAAUGAUGUAGAAGUUAAGCCUGAAAAAUGCAGACCAGGAGAAGGAUAUUUAAUUGUGGGGAUUUUAAAAUCUCUUGAAGCCAUUCAGGAUGGUGGUGAUUGACAAAGGAGCUAUAACCUACAAGACGUAAACUUAAGGAAAUUGCUACCGGAAUUCUCCACAAACGGUAAUUUUUUAAGGGAUUGUUAGUUUUACUUAAUAGUAAUUAAUGUUUCUUAAAUUAUUCAAUCUCUUAAACAUACCUUUUCUUGUUUGGAAUAUUUAAUCAAUUAACUGCUUUUGAUUCAUUGAAAUUAUAAUUCCGAUAAGAAGUUUUUAAACUUUAGCUAAAAGCAUCUGAAAUAUUCCUGCUGGUUUCUUUGACAAAUAUGUAUGCCUGCAAAUAUAUAAAAUGUUUUUCUUUAA
Long non-coding RNA from Daphnia pulex (common water flea), 2079 nucleotides. RefSeq lists it as uncharacterized. Lineage: Eukaryota; Metazoa; Arthropoda; Branchiopoda; Diplostraca; Daphniidae. The record is from RefSeq and is a predicted model, not a curated record. The transcript has 8 exons.